This 256-nucleotide ribosomal RNA is filed under the name uncultured bacterium. RNAcentral describes it as "partial 16S ribosomal RNA". It matches the Rfam family "Bacterial small subunit ribosomal RNA", at positions 521 to 776 of the family's 1533-position model. The record is from RNAcentral.
UAAUACGUAGGGGGCAAGCGUUAUCCGGAUUUACUGGGUGUAAAGGGAGCGUAGAUGGUCUAGCAAGUCUGAUGUGAAAGCUCGGGGCUCAACCCCGGAACUGCAUUGGAAACUGCUUGACUAGAGUGCAGGAGAGGUAAGUGGAAUUCCUAGUGUAGCGGUGAAAUGCGUAGAUAUUAGGAGGAACACCAGUGGCGAAGGCGACUUACUGGACUGUAACUGACAUUGAGGCUCGAAAGCGUGGGGAGCAAACAGG